This 497-nucleotide ribosomal RNA is filed under the name uncultured bacterium. Its description in RNAcentral is "partial 16S ribosomal RNA". It matches the Rfam family "Bacterial small subunit ribosomal RNA", at positions 30 to 523 of the family's 1533-position model. The record is from RNAcentral.
AUUGAACGCUGGCGGCAUGCCUUACACAUGCAAGUCGAACGGUAACAGGUCUUCGGAUGCUGACGAGUGACGAACGGGUGAGUAAUACAUCGGAACGUGCCUAGUAGUGGGGAUAACUACUCGAAAGAGUGGCUAAUACCGCAUGAGAUCUACGGAUGAAAGCAGGGGAUUGCAAGACCUUGUGCUACUAGAGCGGCCGAUGGCAGAUUAGGUAGUUGGUGGGAUAAAAGCUUACCAAGCCGACGAUCUGUAGCUGGUCUGAGAGGACGAUCAGCCACACUGGGACUGAGACACGGCCCAGACUCCUACGGGAGGCAGCAGUGGGGAAUUUUGGACAAUGGGCGCAAGCCUGAUCCAGCAAUGCCGCGUGCAGGAUGAAGGCCUUCGGGUUGUAAACUGCUUUUGUACGGAACGAAAAGCCCUGGGUUAAUACCCUGGGGUCAUGACGGUACCGUAAGAAUAAGCACCGGCUAACUACGUGCCAGCCGCCGCGGUAA